AUUGAAUGGUCUAAGAAACUUAUUUCUUCUUUCAUUCAAUUGCCCUGGCCAAGGUCUUAGUUUGGUCGUUUAUAAUUCAUGACAACAUGGAGCUUAAACUCAUUACCAAGAGUUGACAGAUUCCGUCUUGAUCAAUCACUAAUUUUACAAGUAUUUUAUCGUACCCAAUAUCCAUUCAACUAUCGCCCUAGGGCCAUAGGUGUCUAGUAUCAAAGCUCAAUAAAUGACUUGUCAAUUACUAUGACGAUCUCAAGUCAAAGAAAAUAGUUACA
RNAcentral lists this long non-coding RNA (272 nucleotides) under Nicotiana benthamiana. RNAcentral describes it as "long non-coding RNA (NBEN_LNC015710)". Lineage: Eukaryota; Viridiplantae; Streptophyta; Magnoliopsida; Solanales; Solanaceae. The record is from RNAcentral.